This 253-nucleotide ribosomal RNA is filed under the name uncultured bacterium. Its description in RNAcentral is "partial 16S ribosomal RNA". It matches the Rfam family "Bacterial small subunit ribosomal RNA", at positions 524 to 776 of the family's 1533-position model. The record is from RNAcentral.
GACGAACCGUGCGAACGUUGUUCGGAAUCACUGGGCUUAAAGGGCGCGUAGGCGGCCUGUUAAGUCGGACGUGAAAUCCCUCGGCUCAACCGGGGAACUGCGUCCGAUACUGGCGGGCUUGAAUUCGGGAGAGGGAUGUGGAAUUCCAGGUGUAGCGGUGAAAUGCGUAGAUAUCGAGAGGAACACCUGCGGCGAAGGCGGGUUGCUGGGCUGAUACUGACGCUGAGGCGCGAAAGCCAGGGGAGCGAACGGG